Long non-coding RNA from Scylla paramamosain (green mud crab), 1041 nucleotides. RefSeq lists it as uncharacterized. The record is from RefSeq and is a predicted model, not a curated record. Lineage: Eukaryota; Metazoa; Arthropoda; Malacostraca; Decapoda; Portunidae. The transcript has 3 exons.
UCUUAAUAAUGUUUCAGCUGGAAUAGAAACUUAGUUUACGAAUCAAUGAAGAAGGGAGUCACAAGAGGAAGAAGAGGGCAUACAAAGAUGGACGUGUUUGUGUUUAGUGUCAUCUUAUUUCAUCAUUUUCUCCUCGGUUUUGAGGAAAUUUCUGCUGGGAAGACUGGCCGAUUGAUAGCAACAAGAACCGACAUCAGCUGACCAAGACAUCACUGGGAAUUGACACCAGCUGACCAAGACAUCACUGGGAACUGACACCAGCUGACCAAGACAUCACUGGGAAUUGACAUCAGCUGACCAGGACAUCACUGGGAACUGACAUCAGCUGAUCCAAGACAUAACCAGAAAUUGACACCCACUUGCCACAAUAUCAUAUUGAUGCAGGAGAGCAAAGGACUGCCUGCUGCAAGAAAGUUUAGGUUGCCAUCUCUCUCCUGCAUUGACAGCCGAUUGGUGCCACAGCCCACCAUUCCCUUCAAGCCUAGGGAGCUGGGAGGAACCAGCUGAUCAGUGUUGAGGAGUGGAGAGCAGGCUGGCAGGAGUUGAAGCUUUGAGGUGUUAAAGAAGAGAUGGAGUGGAAGAUGAACCCUGGUGGCUGGAAGCCCUGCAGUCUUGGUAGAAUUGGAGGAUGAACCCUGGUGGCUGGCAGCCCUGCAGAGUCUUGGCAGAAUUGGAGGAUGAAUUCUGCUGCCUGUCAACUCUUUCCUCAAGUGAAGUGCUCUGACUGAAUUGGGCAUCCUCUCAUCACAGUUGAAGAGAACCCAGCUCUGUUUCAAUCCUGUCUGUCUUCAAGUACAAGUGGAGUCCUGACAGAAGUUUAGUAGUGCGCAUCCGUGGGUGAACCCAAGCCACACACGUUGCCCUAGUAUUGAGCGAGAGGUGGUUAAGAAGUCCUGAGGUUGGGAACACCCAGCUCCAGCCUCCUCCACCAUGGAAAAGAUGUGUGUAUGAACUAAAGAAAUUUACUCAUUUGAGUAUCCUCCACCAUGGAAAAGAUGUGCGUGUGUAUGAACUAAAGAAAUUUACAAAAAAAAAAUAAAA